Molecule: long non-coding RNA, 996 nt
Organism: Acanthochromis polyacanthus (spiny chromis)
Lineage: Eukaryota; Metazoa; Chordata; Actinopteri; Pomacentridae
Exons: 3
Source: RefSeq, a predicted model, not a curated record
AUGACAUUUACAAUAUUUGAUUGAUUUUUAGCAUGUAAACAAUGAGAGUCAUAUUAGCAUGGAACAUUUCCAAAGGGUUGAGGUUAGGGAGGGUCAGACCCUCCUAAAGUCUUUAUCCUCUUUUACAAAUGUUUCUGUUUGAUGACAUUAUUGUUCAUAAUCAGUCUUUUCUUGCAGUUGAUUGUAAUUUUUGUCACAAUAUUUUCAAAGAAAAACGUAUAAUAUACUUCAGACAAAAACAAACAAAAAAACAAUGACAAAUGUUUCAGAUGUUGCUCAGUAAUGAUAGUUUUAGAAAAAAAUUUCUGUGCCUCUUUCACAAUUUUAACUAACAAACACAUUUAGAUACAAGGAGUAUAAAUGCAGGAGAUGACUUUAGGAGGGUCUUCAGGAAAUGCUCCAUCCAAAUCACUUUUUCAUUGUUAUUAUUGUAAUUCUUGAAAUUACAUUUUCAACAACUAAUCUAUUUUGAACAUGUAAACAAUGAGAGUCAUCUUAGGAUGGAGCAUUUCCAAAGGGUUGAGGUUAGGGAGGGUCAGACCCUCCUAAAGUCUCUAUGGUCAUUUACAAAUGUUAUUACUAGAUUUCAUCAAUGUUAAUGAUGAUUCUUUCUGAUGUUUUAACAUCUAUAAAGAAAAAAAAUACAGAAAAAAUUGACAAAAUGGUGAGGAUUUCCUGUUAUGUUUCAUGUUUUGGGUUUGGUUUGGUUCGGUCCGUCUCUCGUUUUUCUCUUCUCUCUGGUUUCCUUUCAGUGUGAUCCUGAAGACGUGGCUCAUCUCCCUGCAGCUCAUUCCAGAUCAUCAGCUCCUCCAUAAAACCUGGACUUUUCUCUUCUCUGGUCCCAGAUUUUUCUGCGUGUUUGAUACUACCUGCUGCUACCUCAGUCCUCCAGAGCUCCAGUGUUUCCUGCGCUCGGCCUUCAGCUCUACCUCGAUCACUCCAGCCGUCCACCUCCCAAACCAGCCAGUCGUCAACCUCCACUUAACUUUUGUUCAA